UACGUAGGGGGCAAGCGUUGUCCGGAAUCAUUGGGCGUAAAGCGCGUGUAGGCGGCUCGGUAAGUCUGCUGUGAAAGUCCAGGGCUCAACCCUGGGAUGCCGGUGGAUACUGUCGAGCUCGAGUCCGGAAGAGGCGAGUGGAAUUCCUGGUAUAGCGGUGAAAUGCGCAGAUAUCAGGAGGAACACCAAUGGCGAAGGCAGCUCGCUGGAACGGUACUGACGCUGAGGCGCGAAAGCGUGGGGAGCGAACAGG
This 253-nucleotide ribosomal RNA is filed under the name uncultured bacterium. RNAcentral's name for it is "partial 16S ribosomal RNA". It matches the Rfam family "Bacterial small subunit ribosomal RNA", at positions 524 to 776 of the family's 1533-position model. The record is from RNAcentral.